CCUAUUGUGGCAGAAUAGUGCACUGGAUUUAAGCUCCAAAUAUAAACAAACUUUCUAUAGGA
This 62-nucleotide transfer RNA is filed under the name Japyx solifugus. RNAcentral's name for it is "tRNA-Leu". The record is from RNAcentral. Lineage: Eukaryota; Metazoa; Arthropoda; Diplura; Dicellurata; Japygidae.